GCAUGUGGCUUAGUGGCAGAGUGCUUGCCCUACCCUAGCCUGCUUGAGGCCCUAGGUUGGAUCCCCAGCACAUGCA
This 76-nucleotide transfer RNA is filed under the name Marmota monax (woodchuck). RNAcentral describes it as "tRNA.Val". Lineage: Eukaryota; Metazoa; Chordata; Mammalia; Rodentia; Sciuridae. The record is from RNAcentral.